Molecule: ribosomal RNA, 531 nt
Filed under: Sumakuru bigal
Lineage: Eukaryota; Metazoa; Arthropoda; Arachnida; Araneae; Salticidae
Description: partial 16S ribosomal RNA
Rfam family: Bacterial large subunit ribosomal RNA (bases 141-436)
Source: RNAcentral
UUUCAAUAGCCGCUAUUGUGCUAAGGUAGCAUAAUCAUUUGUCUUUUAAUUAUAGACCGGAACAAAAGAUUAAACAUUUUAAUAAAUUUAUUAAUUUAAAAAUUAAAAUUUUUCUAAAUGUAAAAAAACAUUUAUAAAAAAGAAAGACGACAAGACCCUAUUGAACUUAACUUUAGUUAAACUGGGGAAGUUAAUUAAUUAUAAUUUUAAUUUAAAUUAAAAUUAACAAUAGCUUAUUAAAUAAAUAUACAAGUUACCAUAGGGAUAACAGCGUUAUAAAUUUUUAAAGACCUUAUAAAAAAAUUUGUUUACGACCUCGAUGUUGAAUUAAUUUUCUUUUAUAAGCAAAAAUAUAUAAUAGAUGGUCUGUUCGACCAUUAAAUAAUUACAUGAUUUGAGUUCAGACCGGUGUAAGCCAGGUCGGUUUCUAUCUUCUUAUUUAAUUUUAUAGUACGAAAGGACCAAAAAAAAUAAUAAUAUUAAAAAUAUUGGCAGAAUAAUGCAUUAGAAUUAGAAUCUAAUUAAAAUAUA